This 439-nucleotide long non-coding RNA is filed under the name Olea europaea subsp. europaea. Lineage: Eukaryota; Viridiplantae; Streptophyta; Magnoliopsida; Lamiales; Oleaceae. The record is from RNAcentral.
GUUGAGGGGCUUGAUUGGUUAUCAUUUGGUCCGUCUGUUGUCUACUGAUUUCUUGAAUAUAAGCACGAUUUCUAAUAAUAUUAUUUCUGGGUUUUUGAUUUAUUGUGAAAGUCUCUCUGAUUCUACUAUAAUUUCUGUGAGUUAAGAUAAGAUCCCAGAAAAUUUGAGAGCUUUUCUGAAGUGGGUUUUACGAAUUUUAAUUAUUUAAGGAUCUGCUUUGCUUAAGUUCCUUAUUUCGACAUUUAGAACACUGUUUCUUGAAUAAAUCGUUGAUAGCAACUCAUCUCUUUAAAUAAAAUUAUUUAUUUGCAGAUAGUUUUGGGGAAAAAAUUGAAAGUAAUCUGCUGAUAUAAUUCUUGAUACAAUUCAAUCAAUUACGAUUUCUGUGACUCAUGAAAGAAUGUUGAACCAAAAGAUUUUUUAUUAGAUUUCUCAGGUU